AAUCAACGCUGGCGGCGUGCCUCAGACAUGCAAGUCGAACGCGAAAGUUUCCUUCGGGAAGCGAGUAGAGUGGCGUCCGGGUGAGUAACACGUAGGUAAUCUACCUUUGGGUGGGGAAUAACAACCGGAAACGGUUGCUAAUACCGCAUAAUGCAGCGGCACCACAUGGUGACAGUUGUUAAAGCGGGGGAUCGCAAGACCUCGCGCCUAAAGAGGAGCCUGCGGCGGAUUAGCUAGNGGUAAGGUAACGGCUUACCAAGGCAACGAUCCGUAGCCGGCCUGAGAGGGGCGGUCGGCCACACUGACACUGAAAUACGGGUCAGACUCCUACGGGAGGCAGCAGUCGGGAAUUUUGGGCAAUGGGCGAAAGCCUGACCCAGCAACGCCGCGUGAAGGA
RNAcentral lists this ribosomal RNA (397 nucleotides) under uncultured bacterium. RNAcentral's name for it is "bacterial SSU rRNA". It matches the Rfam family "Bacterial small subunit ribosomal RNA", at positions 32 to 408 of the family's 1533-position model. The record is from RNAcentral.